RNAcentral lists this unclassified non-coding RNA (430 nucleotides) under soil metagenome. RNAcentral describes it as "partial contains 5.8S ribosomal RNA, internal transcribed spacer 2, and large subunit ribosomal RNA". The stretch from base 1 to 120 matches the Rfam family "5.8S ribosomal RNA", at positions 35 to 154 of the family's 154-position model. The record is from RNAcentral.
GAUGAAGAACGUAGUGAAAUGCGAUACGUAAUGUGAAUUGCAGAAUUCAGUGAAUCAUCGAAUCUUUGAACGCAUAUUGCGCUCUCUGGUAUUCCGGAGAGCAUGCUUGUUUGAGUAUCAGUAAACACCUCAACUCCCUUUUCUUUUUUGAAAUUGGAGCUGGACUUGAGUGAUCCCAACGCUUUCUUCCAAGAAAGUGGCGGGUUGCUUGAAAUGCAGGUGCAGCUGAACUUUUCUCUGAGCUAUAAGCAUAUCUAUUUAGUCUGCCUAAAAAACAGAUUAUUACCUUUGCUGCAGCUAACAUAAAGGAGACUAGUUCUUGUGCUGACUGAUGCAGGAUUCACAGAGACAGCUUCAGCUGACUUUGUAAACUCGAUCUCAAAUCAAGUAAGACUACCCGCUGAACUUAAGCAUAUCAAUAAGCGGAGGA